Molecule: ribosomal RNA, 626 nt
Filed under: uncultured Proteinivoraceae bacterium
Lineage: Bacteria; Bacillati; Bacillota; Clostridia; Eubacteriales; Proteinivoracaceae
Description: bacterial SSU rRNA
Rfam family: Bacterial small subunit ribosomal RNA
Source: RNAcentral
UAGUGGCGGACGGGUGAGUAACGCGUGGGCAACCUGCCCUACAGCCUGGGAUACCAUCGGGAAACUGAUGUUAAUACCGGAUACGCUCUUUUGAUCGCAUGACCUAAGGAGGAAAGAUUUAUCGCUGUAGGAUGGGCCCGCGGUCCAUUAGCUAGUUGGUAGGGUAACGGCCUACCAAGGCGACGAUGGAUAGCUGGUCUGAGAGGACGAUCAGCCACACUGGGACUGAGACACGGCCCAGACUCCUACGGGAGGCAGCAGUGGGGAAUAUUGCGCAAUGGGGGCAACCCUGACGCAGCAAUGCCGCGUGAAGGAUGAAGGCUUUCGGGUCGUAAACUUCUGUCUAGAGGGAUGAAUAAUGACAGUACCUCUGGAGGAAGCCCCGGCUAACUACGUGCCAGCAGCCGCGGUAAUACGUAGGGGGCAAGCGUUGUCCGGAAUCACUGGGCGUAAAGCGCGCGUAGGUGGUCUAGUAAGUCAGAUGUUAAAAUGCGGGGCUCAACCCCGUAAUGCAUUUGAAACUGCUGGACUUGAGGACAGGAGAGGAAAGUGGAAUUCCUAGUGUAGCGGUGAAAUGCGUAGAUAUUAGGAGGAACACCAGUGGCGAAGGCGACUUUCUGGACUGU